Molecule: ribosomal RNA, 96 nt
Filed under: uncultured bacterium
Lineage: Bacteria
Description: partial 16S ribosomal RNA
Source: RNAcentral
CUCGGGUCUUGUACACACCGCCCGUCAAGCGAGCAAAGUCGGGGGUAGCUGAAGUGCUCCGCAAGGAGUCCGAGGCUAAAUUCGGCGAUGAGCGCU